RNAcentral lists this ribosomal RNA (715 nucleotides) under uncultured bacterium. RNAcentral's name for it is "bacterial SSU rRNA". It matches the Rfam family "Bacterial small subunit ribosomal RNA", at positions 64 to 780 of the family's 1533-position model. The record is from RNAcentral.
GACCCCUUAUAGUGGAAUAAAACUUCGGUCGAGUGAAGCUAUAGAGAGCGGCGGACGGGUGAGUAACGCGUAGGCAACCUGCCCCAUACAGAGGGAUAGCCUCGGGAAACCGGGAUUAAAACCUCAUAACGCAGCGAGUUCACAUGGACUAGCUGCCAAAGAUUUAUCGGUAUGGGAUGGGCCUGCGUCUGAUUAGCUAGUUGGUGAGGUAACGGCUCACCAAGGCGACGAUCAGUAGCCGACCUGAGAGGGUAAUCGGCCACAUUGGAACUGAGACACGGUCCAAACUCCUACGGGAGGCAGCAGUGGGGAAUAUUGCACAAUGGGCGAAAGCCUGAUGCAGCAACGCCGCGUGAGCGAUGAAGGCCUUUGGGUCGUAAAGCUCUGUCCUUGGGGAAGAAACAAAUGACGGUACCCUUGGAGGAAGCCCCGGCUAACUACGUGCCAGCAGCCGCGGUAAUACGUAGGGGGCGAGCGUUAUCCGGAAUUAUUGGGCGUAAAGAGUGCGUANGUGGCCAUGUAAGCGCGGGGUGAAAGGCAAUAGCUUAACUAUUGUAAGCCUUGCGAACUGUGUGGCUUGAGUGCAGGAGAGGAAAGUGGAAUUCCUAGUGUAGCGGUGAAAUGCGUAGAUAUUAGGAGGAACACCAGUGGCGAAGGCGACUUUCUGGACUGUACUGACACUGAGGCACGAAAACCUGGGGAGCAAACAGGAUUA